This 1134-nucleotide ribosomal RNA is filed under the name Triticum aestivum (bread wheat). Its description in RNAcentral is "partial small subunit ribosomal RNA". The record is from RNAcentral. Lineage: Eukaryota; Viridiplantae; Streptophyta; Magnoliopsida; Poales; Poaceae.
AUGUGGCCUGUGUUUGUUAUACCAUACAACCUUCCACCUUGGGCAUGCAUGGACCAGUCAAAUUUCAGGAUGGCUUUGCUAAUUCCAGGUCCUAAAUCACCUGGCAAGCACUUUGAUGUCUUUCUACAACCACUUGUAGAAGAAUUACUUGAGCUCUGGGAGGGUGUGCGUACAUAUGAUGCUCUUACUGAAAAAAUGUUUGAUCUUCAUGCUGCAGUUCUAUGGUGCAUUCAUGAUUACCCAGCUCUGAGCACUCUUUCAGGGUGUACCACAAGAAGCUAUUUUGUAUGUAUCCAUUGUGACAAACACCCUAUUUCUUACGGCCUAAGGAAAAAAAUUGGGUAUAUUGGUCACUAUCGUUUCCUUCCAAAGGGACAUUGUUUGCUGAGAAAUAAUGAAUUUGUUGGUCUUCAUGAAAGCAAUGAUCGGCCAGGUAAAUUCUCUGAGAAAGAGCUGCAAGCAGAAUUGGAGAAGGUUAGACCUGGGAGGCAACAAGAAAGUAAGAAAAGGAAACGUUCUGACUUGGGCAGCAAGAAGGCUCAUGUGCCAAUUUGGAGCCGCAGGGUUUGUUUGUGGGAUUUGGAAUAUUGGGGGAAAUUGAAGCUGAGGCACAAUCUUGAUGUCAUGCACAUCGAGAAAAACAUAUGUGAAAACCUCAUUGGGACAAUUUUGAACUUAGAGGGGAAGACAAAGGACACACUCAAUGCUAGGAUUGAUCUCCAAGAUUUGAAUAUUAAAGAGGAGUUGAAAUUGAGGAAGGAAGGAAACUCAUAUGUGAUGCCUCGGGCACGAUAUACCUUGUCCAAAGAACAAGUGGUUGCAUUUUGUCAAUUUCUACGGGAGUUAAAGUUUCCGGAUGGAUUUGCUUUCAACAUAUCAAGAUGUACAAGUGCUGAUGGUACCAAGGUACAAGGCCUUAAAACACAUGAUUGUCACAUUCUUCUGCAAAGAAUCUUACCUGCUGGCAUGAGAGGAUUUUUGGAUAGUGAUAUAUAUCAAGCAAUAGCUGAGUUAAGCAAGUUUUUCAGGGAACUAUGCAGCAAAACUCUUAAUAGGGAUGUGUUGGCUGAAAUGAAGAAAGAAAUCCCUAUAAUUUUGUGCAAGCUUGAGAAAAUUCCCCCCUGCUUUCUUUGA